AACGAACGCUGGCGGCAUGCCUAAUACAUGCAAGUCGAACGAGAUCUUCGGAUCUAGUGGCGCACGGGUGCGUAACGCGUGGGAAUCUGCCCUUGGGCUCGGAAUAACUUCUGGAAACGGAAGCUAAUACCGGAUGAUGACGUAAGUCCAAAGAUUUAUCGCCCAAGGAUGAGCCCGCGUAGGAUUAGGUAGUUGGUGAGGUAAAGGCUCACCAAGCCGACGAUCCUUAGCUGGUCUGAGAGGAUGAUCAGCCACACUGGGACUGAGACACGGCCCAGACUCCUACGGGAGGCAGCAGUAGGGAAUAUUGGACAAUGGGCGAAAGCCUGAUCCAGCAAUGCCGCGUGAGUGAUGAAGGCCUUAGGGUUGUAAAGCUCUUUUACCCGGGAUGAUAAUGACAGUACCGGGAGAAUAAGCUCCGGCGAACUCCGU
Molecule: ribosomal RNA, 432 nt
Filed under: uncultured bacterium
Lineage: Bacteria
Description: partial 16S ribosomal RNA
Rfam family: Bacterial small subunit ribosomal RNA
Source: RNAcentral